This 445-nucleotide ribosomal RNA is filed under the name uncultured bacterium. RNAcentral's name for it is "partial 16S ribosomal RNA". It matches the Rfam family "Bacterial small subunit ribosomal RNA", at positions 354 to 796 of the family's 1533-position model. The record is from RNAcentral.
GUAGGGAAUAUUGGGCAAUGGAUGCAAGUCUGACCCAGCCAUGCCGCGUGGAGGAAGAAGGUCCUCUGGAUUGUAAACUCCUUUUUUGGGGGAAGAAUAGUUCUCUUGCGAGGGAAUGUGACGGUACCCUAAGAAUAAGCCACGGCUAACUACGUGCCAGCAGCCGCGGUAAUACGUAGGUGGCAAGCGUUGUCCGGAUUUAUUGGGUUUAAAGGGUGCGUAGGUGGUUUGAUAAGUCAGUGGUGAAAGCUGGUUGCUCAACAAUCAAGUUGCCAUUGAUACUGUCUGACUUGAGAGAAGUGGAGGUUCAUGGAAUGGAUGGUGUAGCGGUGAAAUGCAUAGAUAUCAUCCAGAACGUCGAUUGCGAAGGCAGUGGGCUGUACUUUAUCUGACACUGAGGCACGAAAGUGUGGGGAUCAAACAGGAUUAGAUACCCCUGUAGUCC